Molecule: ribosomal RNA, 429 nt
Filed under: Gemmatimonadota bacterium
Lineage: Bacteria; Pseudomonadati; Gemmatimonadota
Description: Gemmatimonadetes bacterium partial 16S ribosomal RNA
Rfam family: Bacterial small subunit ribosomal RNA
Source: RNAcentral
UAGGGAAUCUUCGGCAAUGGACGAAAGUCUGACCGAGCAACGCCGCGUGAGUGAAGAAGGUUUUCGGAUCGUAAAACUCUGUUGUUAGAGAAGAACAAGGACGUUAGUAACUGAACGUCCCCUGACGGUAUCUAACCAGAAAGCCACGGCUAACUACGUGCCAGCAGCCGCGGUAAUACGUAGGUGGCAAGCGUUGUCCGGAUUUAUUGGGCGUAAAGCGAGCGCAGGCGGUUUCUUAAGGCUGAUGUGAAAGCCCCCGGCUCAACCGGGGAGGGUCAUUGGAAACUGGGAGACUUGAGUGCAGAAGAGGAGAGUGGAAUUCCAUGUGUAGCGGUGAAAUGCGUAGAUAUAUGGAGGAACACCAGUGGCGAAGGCGGCUCUCUGGUCUGUGACUGACGCUGAGGCUCGAAAGCGUGGGGAGCAAACAGA